GCCGUCCUUUUUCCCAGCCGCCGUGGUGCUGGCAAGUCUUGGCGCCGAGCCGCUGCUCUGCCGCAACGCACGCUCAUCCUCCCCCCACCCCGCCUUGGCGUCGCCGCCAUUGGCCCCGCACGCACCGCAGCCUCUGGCCGAGGCCACGGGAUGUUGGGAGCGGCUCGGAGCUGCCGGGCCUCCCGGCCUGCUGGGACUAAGGCCCGGAAGGCCGGGUCGGCCGCAUGCGCGGUGAGAAGGGCCGGAGCCCGGCGGGGCCGCACAUGCUCCCGCCCCGGCCCGCGUGUCCCUGCUCUGCGGGGCGACGGGCUGCCCCCAAGUGUCCUGGCAGCGUCUGUAACUGAAGAAUCCAAGGAUACCAAGGUGUUGCUGUCCUUUAGACAAGAUCUGUUCCCAGUAAAGUUGCCCUUGUCUGUGAUUAUGGAUCCAUAGUCGGGAGAGAAACACUAUGGGAUGAGGCAAGUUGAAAGACAACAGAUGAUUUUAGUGAAGAAUCACGACCUCUGUAUUUCUGUGAAUGCUGGCACAGGGCAUGUAAGUGACCAAUAAAAAAUUUGGAGUAUG
This is a long non-coding RNA of Canis lupus familiaris (dog), 564 nucleotides long. RefSeq lists it as uncharacterized. The transcript has 4 exons. The record is from RefSeq and is a predicted model, not a curated record. NCBI's taxonomy places the organism in Eukaryota, Metazoa, Chordata, Mammalia, Carnivora, Canidae.